Molecule: non-coding RNA, 249 nt
Organism: Pelobates cultripes (western spadefoot toad)
Lineage: Eukaryota; Metazoa; Chordata; Amphibia; Anura; Pelobatidae
Source: the annotation of a GenBank genome assembly
CAGGUCUCAGUGAGUGCCAGUAUUGUGAGAGAGUUAGAGAUGAGGAGGUCAUGUAUUGCUGUAGAUUUGAUAUUACUACAAAUGGAGCGAGCAUUCCAGAGUGCACACUGAAUUUUGGUAGAGGAGGAUAGACUGCAGGGUAUUUGGAGGAGGUUUGCAUGGUUUCUGGUAAUUUUAGUGUGAGCAGAUGAGGUGAGGGGCCCUGGGUUGGGAGAGACGUCACCAGCUGCCAGAAGUAGGAGGAGAGAU